This 72-nucleotide transfer RNA is filed under the name Marmota monax (woodchuck). Its description in RNAcentral is "tRNA.Ala". Lineage: Eukaryota; Metazoa; Chordata; Mammalia; Rodentia; Sciuridae. The record is from RNAcentral.
GUAGGUUGUGGCUGAGUGGUAGGGCACCUGCCUAGCAUGUGUGAGGCACUGGGUUCGAUUUUCAGCACUACA